CCUACGGGAGGCUGCAGUGGGGAAUAUUGGACAAUGGGGGCAACCUUGAUCCAGCCAUGCCGCGUGUGUGAAGAAGGCCCUCGGGUUGUAAAGCACUUUCAGUGAGGAAGAACGCCUGGUGGUUAAUACCCAUCAGGAAAGACAUCACUCACAGAAGAAGCACCGGCUAACUCCGUGCCAGCAGCCGCGGUAAUACGGAGGGUGCGAGCGUUAAUCGGAAUUACUGGGCGUAAAGCGCGCGUAGGUGGCUUGAUAAGCCGGUUGUGAAAGCCCCGGGCUCAACCUGGGAACGGCAUCCGGAACUGUCAAGCUAGAGUGCAGGAGAGGAAGGUAGAAUUCCCGGUGUAGCGGUGAAAUGCGUAGAGAUCGGGAGGAAUACCAGUGGCGAAGGCGGCCUUCUGGACUGACACUGACACUGAGGUGCGAAAGCGUGGGUAGCAAACAGGAUUAGAUACCCGAGUAGUC
Molecule: ribosomal RNA, 465 nt
Filed under: Vreelandella stevensii
Lineage: Bacteria; Pseudomonadati; Pseudomonadota; Gammaproteobacteria; Oceanospirillales; Halomonadaceae
Description: partial 16S ribosomal RNA
Rfam family: Bacterial small subunit ribosomal RNA
Source: RNAcentral